UUGUAAUUUGCAGAGGAUGCUUUUGGUGAGGUGCCUUCCGAGUUCCCUGGAACGGGACGCCAUAGAGGGUGAGAGCCCCGUCUGGUUGGAUACCGAGCCUCUGUAAAGCUCCUUCGACGAGUCGAGUAGUUUGGGAAUGCUGCUCUAAAUGGGAGGUAUAUGUCUUCUAAAGCUAAAUAUUGGCCAGAGACCGAUAGCGCACAAGUAGAGUGAUCGAAAGAUGAAAAGCACUUUGAAAAGAGGGUUAAAUAGUACGUGAAAUUGUUGAAAGGGAAGCACUUAUGACCAGACUUGGCCCCGGUGAAUCAUCCAGCGGUUCCCGCUGGUGCACUUUGCCGGGGUUCAGGCCAGCAUCAGUUCGCUCCGGGGGAUAAAGGCUUUGGGAAUGUGGCUCCCUCGGGAGUGUUAUAGCCCAUUGCGCAAUACCCUGUGGCGGGCUGAGGUUCGCGCUUUAUGCAAGGAUGCUGGCAUAAUGGUCAUCAGUGACCCGUCUUGAAACACGGACCUUAAUUAAUUUA
Molecule: ribosomal RNA, 518 nt
Filed under: Metarhizium sp.
Lineage: Eukaryota; Fungi; Ascomycota; Sordariomycetes; Hypocreales; Clavicipitaceae
Description: partial large subunit ribosomal RNA
Rfam family: Eukaryotic large subunit ribosomal RNA
Source: RNAcentral